UACAUAGGUCUCAAGCGUUGUUCGGAUUCAUUGGGCGUAAAGGGUGCGUAGGCGGCGCGGUAAGUCGGGUGUGAAAUCUUGGAGCUUGACUCCGAAACUGCAUUCGAUACUGCCGUGCUUGAGGACUGGAGAGGAGACUGGAAUUUACGGUGUAGCGGUGAAAUGCGUAGAUAUCGUAAGGAAGACCAGUGGCGAAGGCGGGUCUCUGGACAGUUCCUGACGCUGAGGCACGAAGGCCAGGGGAGCAAACGGG
Molecule: ribosomal RNA, 253 nt
Filed under: uncultured bacterium
Lineage: Bacteria
Description: partial 16S ribosomal RNA
Rfam family: Bacterial small subunit ribosomal RNA
Source: RNAcentral